CAUACGUGCAUGUACAUUGACUUUAACAUGGCAAGGAAUUUCUUUCAGAGAGCUGUAAACCAGCUUAAAAACAAAGAGUUUCGGAAGUAUCUGAGGAGGUAUGUGCAUCCAGAGGCGCUUGCAGUUUAUGUAAAAAUCCAAUAUGUAAACUUUCCUUGUCGAUUGCCGUCAGUGUAUAAGAAGCUUAAACUCUUCACUUUGUUGUAGAUGUAAGCAUAAAGUCACUGCUUACAUUUGGGUCCCUCAUUGCAGAAGUGCUGCUGGUGAUCACAGAAUUGCACUUAUAAUUUUUUUUGUUUGUUUUCUUUGUCUUUCCGUGAUCUGAAUGUGCCUGUUGGGAAAAUCCUUACAACAAAAGCACGGUAAGAAAGUAACAAACUGAUUUUUUGUUAAUAUACAUGUAAUUUUAUGACUACUGUUUAAUAAUCUCACACUAAUGUAUUGUAAGAAUCCUCUGAAAUUUAUUUAAUGGUACCUUCACCCUGCUGCAUGUUAGAUCAGCUCUGUGUUUUAUUGUUUGAUUUCAGCACUUCUGGGGACCAGUUAUUAAUUGGGGUCUUCCCCUAGUCGCAGUCAGCGAUAUGAGGAAGAGCCCCGACAUCAUCAGCGGUCGAAUGACCUUCGCUCUUACCUGUUACUCAGUGAUAUUUAUGAGGUUCUCAUACCGAGUCCAGCCCCGAAACUGGCUCCUUUUUUCUUGCCACAUGGCCAAUGUGACGGCACAAGUGAUCCAGGGAGGCCGGCUCAUCCGACACAAAAUGCAGAACAAAAAUGCGAAAUGAGCCUUUCCAUGCAGUAGAUAAGAGCACAGACGGGUUCGUGCAGAUAAAGGCAAAUUGAGGAAGAUCUCUACCAGAUCCAUGCAUCAGAUCAAGAGAGCAGCUGCUAAAAUGCCAUUAUGUAGCAGCAAACAGAUAUUUGAAGCUGCUGGUGCCUCUGGAGUCCCAUGGACAUCAAGGUGUAGAGUCCUCCACUGCAACUGUGCAUAAACCUUCUAUUCUGCCACCACUAACCAGUGCUCACAAGCAGAAACUGUCCAAAUACACAAGUUUAAUGGAUGCAAGACUUGUGAAGCUGCUAUCAAAUAAGGGGUCCUAUGUCAAAAUGUGACGUGACCUGUUUGAUUUCAGUACAUAUGCUGCAAACACAACAAAUGACAAUUUUCAGUUCUUUGCAACUUAUAAAGUGUUUUGCAGCUUACUGUGCAUAAUAAUUUGGAACAGUUCAUUGUAAGUGUUUUGUUUGACAA
Long non-coding RNA from Brienomyrus brachyistius, 1249 nucleotides. RefSeq lists it as uncharacterized. The record is from RefSeq and is a predicted model, not a curated record. The transcript is spliced from 3 exons. NCBI's taxonomy places the organism in Eukaryota, Metazoa, Chordata, Actinopteri, Osteoglossiformes, Mormyridae.